Molecule: ribosomal RNA, 465 nt
Filed under: Blautia sp. canine oral taxon 143
Lineage: Bacteria; Bacillati; Bacillota; Clostridia; Lachnospirales; Lachnospiraceae
Description: bacterial SSU rRNA
Rfam family: Bacterial small subunit ribosomal RNA
Source: RNAcentral
GAGUUUGAUCCUGGCUCAGGAUGAACGCUGGCGGCGUGCUUAACACAUGCAAGUCGAACGAAGCGCUUGGAUGGAAUUCUUCGGAAGGAAGCUCAAGUGACUGAGUGGCGGACGGGUGAGUAACGCGUGGGUAACCUGCCUCAUACAGGGGGAUAACAGUUAGAAAUGACUGCUAAUACCGCAUAAGCACACGUGAUCGCAUGAUCGAGUGUGAAAAACUCCGGUGGUAUGAGAUGGACCCGCGUCUGAUUAGCUAGUUGGUGGGGUAAUGGCCCACCAAGGCGACGAUCAGUAGCCGGCCUGAGAGGGUGAACGGCCACAUUGGGACUGAGACACGGCCCAAACUCCUACGGGAGGCAGCAGUGGGGAAUAUUGCACAAUGGGGGAAACCCUGAUGCAGCGACGCCGCGUGAAGGAUGAAGUAUUUCGGUAUGUAAACUUCUAUCAGCAGGGAAGAAAAUGACG